Molecule: ribosomal RNA, 1347 nt
Filed under: metagenome
Description: bacterial LSU rRNA
Rfam family: Bacterial large subunit ribosomal RNA
Source: RNAcentral
UGAGUACGAGCUGCUACGGCAGCGAAGUGGGUGAUGUCAAGCUUCCAAGAAAAGCCCUAUACCCGUUAAGGCAUGAUGGCCUGUACCCGAAACCGACACAGGUAGGGUGGUAGAGAAUACCGAGGGGCGCGAGGUAACUCUCUCUAAGGAACUCGGCAAAAUGGCCCCGUAACUUCGGGAUAAGGGGUGCCACCGCAAGGUGGUCGCAGUGAAGAGGCCCAGGCGACUGUUUACCAAAAACACAGGUCUCUGCUAAGUCGCAAGACGAUGUAUGGGGGCUGACGCCUGCCCAGUGCCGGAAGGUUAAGGGAGCUGGUCAGCGUAAGCGAAGCUGGCGACUGAAGCCCCGGUGAACGGCGGCCGUAACAAUAACGGUCCUAAGGUAGCGAAAUUCCUUGUCGGGUAAGUUCCGACCCGCACGAAAGGCGUAACGAUCUGGGCGCUGUCUCGGAGAGAGGCUCGGCGAAAUAGAAUUGUCUGUGAAGAUGCGGACUACGUGCACCCGGACAGAAAGACCCUAUGAAGCUUUACUGUAGCUUGGUAUUGUGCCCGGGCUCGCAAUGCGCAGGAUAGGUGGGAGGCUUUGAUCAUCGGCUUGCGGGUCGAUGUGAGCCAACGGUGAGAUACCACUCUUUGCGAGCUAGGGUUCUAACGGUCACCCGUUAUCCGGGGACCGGACAGUAUCAGGUGGGCAGUUUGACUGGGGCGGUCGCCUCCUAAAAGGUAACGGAGGCGCGCAAAGGUUUGCUCAGGCUGGUUGGAAAUCAGCCGACGAGUGUAAAAGCAGAAGCAAGCUUGACUGUGAGACCUACAAGUCGAACAGGGACGAAAGUCGGCUUUAGUGAUCCGACGGUUCUGAGUGGAAGGGCCGUCGCUCAACGGAUAAAAGUUACUCUAGGAUAACAGGCUGAUCUCCCCCAAGAAUUCACAUCGACGGGGAGGUUUGGCACCUCGAUGUCGGCUCAUCGCAACCUGGGGCUGAAGUCGGUCCCAAGGGUUGGGCUGUUCGCCCAUUAAAGCGGUACGCGAGCUGGGUUCAGAACGUCGUGAGACAGUUCGGUCCAUAUCCGGUGCACGCGCAGGAACAUUGAGAGGAUUUCUCCCUGGUACGAGAGGACCGGGAGGAACGCACCUCUGGUGUACCAGUUAUCGUGCCGACGGUAAACGCUGGGUAGCCAUGUGCGGAGUGGAUAACCGCUGAAAGCAUCUAAGUGGGAAGCCCACCUCAAGAUGAGUGUUCCCAUGGCGUUAGCCAGUAAGGUCACGGGAAGAACACCCGUUGAUAGGCUCUACGUGGAAGCGCAGUAAUGCGUGAAGCGGAGGAGUACUAAUAGACCGAGGGCUUGA